Molecule: transfer RNA, 63 nt
Filed under: Prosopocoilus confucius
Lineage: Eukaryota; Metazoa; Arthropoda; Insecta; Coleoptera; Lucanidae
Description: tRNA-Glu
Source: RNAcentral
AUUUAUAUAGUUUAAAGAAAACAUUACAUUUUCAUCGUAAAAUUAGACCCCGUCUUGUAAAUA